GAUUGCAGAGAUAGAGAGCCAUUCUGCUCCAUCAGAUGUUCCAAUCGAGCUUCAGCCGUAAAGCCGGAGCUCUCUGGCAAGUCACGAUAAUGGCCACUACCCCACUCCACUCUCUGUAACAGAUUCCACAUGGCCCCACCACUCUCUGGAAAGUCGCGACAAUGGACACCACUCCAUUCUUCAUAACAAACUCCAUGUAG
RNAcentral lists this long non-coding RNA (200 nucleotides) under Elaeis guineensis (African oil palm). Its description in RNAcentral is "long non-coding RNA (EGUI_LNC060353)". Lineage: Eukaryota; Viridiplantae; Streptophyta; Magnoliopsida; Arecales; Arecaceae. The record is from RNAcentral.